Molecule: small RNA, 572 nt
Filed under: Drosophila pseudoobscura pseudoobscura
Lineage: Eukaryota; Metazoa; Arthropoda; Insecta; Diptera; Drosophilidae
Description: GA32419
Source: RNAcentral
UCCCAGUUGUGGACGCCGAUGCCGGUUCGGUGGCGGUUCGGCAUUGGGUUCGAUUCGGUUCGAUUCGAUUGAUUCUUAACUGUUUGCUUAAUGGCAAUUUGAAUAAAAGCCAGUACGAGUACGGCCUUCCUCCUCUGAUAACGGGCCGCAUAAAUUACGGUGAAAAGCAGAAAGCUGAUUGAAAACUUUUCGCAUUUCCCGAUAUUUUUUUGAAGGCAAUCUUGUUGUUGCCAUUUUUGUGAAUUUUUUUUUUGUUAAUGUGCCAAACCAAAGAAAAAAGUUAAUCAAAACUAAAAAAUACAAAAUAAAUCGGAAAUUUGUGCGAUAAGCCAAGCCCCCCUCCAGCCGCGCUCUCUUUUGAACGGAAGCUAACGGGAAGCUGAUAAACAGUUUGGCGCUCAAAAGAGUGGAAGGAGUGCUUCAAGAGUGGAAAACAGUAAAAGCCGGCAUCAUCAGCAGCAGCAGCAGCAGCAGCAACGGAAGCUCUCAAAAGAGAGCAAGAGGCCAAAAGCCGGCAGAGGCGCGCUCAAAGAGAGGCCGAAGGAGCAGCAGCAAGAACCGUUUAAUGAACA